CGGAGAGAAAAGUAGUUUGGUGCUACAAAUCCAAUUCCAUUUUACAAUUCGUCGCACUUCAUUUGCAAAUUUGGGCAGUGAGUGCAACGCGAAAUUUUGCGUCGAUUUCAAUUCUUUUGUAACGUUUGUUAGCCAGGGCCAAAAAGUUCAUCAGGUCAGCGGCGACGGCGACGGCGACGGUGACGGCAGCAAAACAGACCGAAAAGCAAACACAAAUCCUGGCACGCCAACCCGGCCAUGUUGACAGCAAUUUAACGCCUCGACUCGGCUCGACUUGAACCCGCCUCACCGCACUUCUCCAACCCUGACCUCGCUCCAACCCUGCCCUGUCAUCAGCCAGCCCUGGCCUCGGUUCAUUGUUAAGGCAACACCUCUCGACGCCUAAUAGCAUUUUAUUUAUUUAUCACAAAUUUAGUCGCCUACAAAGUGCUUGUCAUCUGUUUGGAUUUCCUUCCCAAAUGCUCUCUCAAAUAUUUAACAAAUUACCAAAACGUUUCCCGUUAAGAUUGUGCGGCUUUUCACGCUGCAUAAAUUAAAAGCCACACAAAAAAAAAAAAUGAAAACGUCUGUUUGGCCAACACUCGAAUUAUGCUUAAAGUUAAUCGACCAAUUUCAGAUGAGCACAAGCAAAACAACAAGAGCGAAAAAUGAAAAUAAAAAUGAAAAUGAAAAUGAAAAUG
Molecule: long non-coding RNA, 680 nt
Organism: Drosophila sulfurigaster albostrigata
Lineage: Eukaryota; Metazoa; Arthropoda; Insecta; Diptera; Drosophilidae
Exons: 2
Source: RefSeq, a predicted model, not a curated record